UUAAAAAAAAACAUUUUGAUUCGGCAUAUUGACAAACAUUUGAACAUAAGCUCUGAUGAGAUCACCGAAAAGGUAUUGAAAAAAAAAAUUAAACAUAUCACAUUUUUAUGUCUAUUUAUAAAUAUUACGUAUUUUUUUAACUGUUUUAAAAUUACUGAUUUGCUAUGUUGAAUCUAGAUAAAUCUUGUUCAAUCUAGCUAAUGCCUGUAAUGCCUGAAAUUACAGUUGUGCAAUCGAAGUCAUUUUAAAGACAUACUGUUGAAGCACCACAACAGCAACAGAAAAUAUAAGAGAUGCCAGAAAAAGAGUUGUUUGGUGGUGCCUUUUCAGCAUUUCUUCCUGAUGGAGCUAAAGAUGUCAGUGACUUCAGACAAAUUCCAGACAAUCAAGAAGUAUUUACACAUGCUGAAACAGACCAGAGUGUAAUUAUAGAGAUUAUGGAACAUGUAGAAGGAGGAGAUGAUGUAGCCAUUAAAACCCAUUUUGAAGAUUUAGCCCAAGGCAAUGAUGUAUCACCACAAGAUAGUGAGAUAAUACAUACAGAACAGAUAUCAGAUGACAAGUUGUCCAGUGAACAUUUUGAUAGUGCCUGGUACAUCUUAGGACAACAGAAUGUGGCCAAGUUUAAUGAGGUUGCAAAGAACACUAUAAGCAUCCACAUGGGACUUAUCAGAUUAUCAGAGUUUGAAUCGGAUGUACUGAUAACAUUCAAUGAUCCUGUCAAUAUAGAGUAGGUACCAUCGGGGAGAGGGGAGAGUUUGAAUCGGAUGUACUGAUAACAUUCAAUGAUCCUGUCAAUAUAGAGUAGGUACCAUUGGAGAGAGGGGAGAGUUUGAAUCGGAUGUACUGAUAACAUUCAAUGAUCCUGUCAAUAUAGACCCAUCCAGUAGUAGUCACCAUGCUGUACCUACACAUUGUAUCAGAUGGUCCGUAGAAGAUUUUAAACAGCUGCUGAUGUCAUUCAAGCUUCAUGAUACAGGGAUAUUUGGUGUAUAAUGACAGCUGAUAUGAUAUAAUAUCCACCCCCAUGGAUAAUAAAUAGUUCAUAAACAUCAAUAAGAAUUGUAAUAUCGUAUGACAGAUUAUUUAGUGGGUGUGAAAAUUUAGCAAUUUAUCGCAAUAGUUGUGGAAUUUGCAUGGAAAAAUUGCUAAUGUGAAUUUAGAUUUAGUAAAAAAAUUGGCACAUUUAAAAAGAAUGCCAACAAUGCCAAAAUUUGCACCCUGCUAAGAUAAUCUGUGAUGUGGUAGCAUGUAGAAACUAUUGUAAUGUGAAGGGCCAUUCCAGAAAAAUGACCAUACAGGGAAAGGGAGGGUCUGAAGUAUUGUUACUUUAUAAAAAUGUUAGCAGUGAUUGGUAGUAUCAUGCAACUAUGGUAUAAUCAGGGAAAAAAAUUCCAAGGUUAAGGUUUGUAAAAUGUCACAGAACCGAUUAUGUGUUUAUUUCUGGAAUAGCUCUAGGUAUAAAGUGUGUUUUUUAAACUCUGGAAUCAUUUAUAACAUUUAAAGCUUAUCUGAUUAACCACACAGUUUUAAUAUGGUGAAAUAGCACAUAUGAUAUCUAAAUUUAAUAUAUAGAUCAUAAUAACUAUGAUUUUUUCUUUUUAUAGAGUUAUCUCCAAUGAUGAAAAAUGAAAUGUUUUUGUCUAUUUUGCCAAAAUCUUUUAAGAACAUAUCAAUAUUAUACAUUUUGAUGGAUGUUUUAUUUCAUCCAUGAUUUACUUAAUGCUUGUAUGUAGACUUUGGUAAAACCAUGAAAUCAAAUAUCAAAUAUUCAUGAACAAAAAAACAAUUUUUAUACAAUCCACAAAAUUUGUUACCCAAAAAAAAUUAAGUGUAUUAUCAGAAAAAGUGAUUGAUUUUUGAUUUUUUGAAAUAAGUUUGAUAAAGAAGACAUUUAGAUUUUGAAACAUAAGUAUUUUGUUUUAAACUUACUCCUCUAAUGUUGACAUAAAUUUUUAAACCAUUGAAUGCAUGAUGACCUAUUUUUUAAUGCAAAAAAUUUCUUACAAAUUUUCAUGUUCAUAAUAUUUGUAAAAGAUUUAAGUCAUUAGGGACCAGUAUUGAUAUUAAAAGACCAACUGAAGAACUCUGAGAUAAAAUCAGAUAGCUUAUGAAAUUAUUGUAUAAAAAUUGGUGUAUCAACUAAUGUUUUACUUGUAUCAAGUUUCUUCCAUAUUACUUUAUUUUUAGAUUAAAAAAGUAAACAAAUAUUUUAUGUUAUUUGCACUGUAAAAUAGUAUAUAAAAUACUAUAAGCCAUUAUUUUUACAUGAACAAUAUGUUUCUUUAUAAGUUAUUGAUGAUAUUAUGCAGAAAUAAAAGUUCACAAAAUUGUUUGCCUUAUCUGCUUCAUGUCCAAAUUCUUGAUUUUCACCCAAAAAAAACAUUUUUGUCUUUUAUAUGAAGUAUAUUUGUACUAUGAGGGGGGGGGGGGGGGGGGGGGGGGGGGGGGUAGGAGGGGUCCUGAUCCCGAAAUCCCGGGCUUAAUAUCAUGGACUCUUGAGGUCCCGAAUUUAAAAAAAAAUUUAAAUCCAGACAUCCCGAAAUUCGAAAAAAGAAUUCCCGGAUCCCGAAAGGAUCAAUCCUGAAAUCUGAGCUUAAAAACACCCGAUCCCGCAAUCCUGAUAAAGGUCCUACCCCCCCCCCCCCACCACCACCACUAUGCACAAAAAAGGAAAGGAAUGAUUGGCAAGUCUUAUAUGUCUACCUGUUUCUAAAACUUCUAAAAAUAAAUUAUUUGUUUGCAGUUUGCAAGCAAUUUAUGGUUAUUCUGUAUUUAGAUAUUGAUUGUUUAAAUAAAUUGAGAUGAGUAUAGUUUGUUUUUUAUAUGAAAUAUAUUUGUAAUCUGUACAUUAAAACAGGAAAGAAAUGAUCGUCAAACUUCUUAUUUUUACCUGUUUCUAAGACUUUUUCAAAUAUAUAUAUUCAUAGACUAUUUAUGCUUAUUCAGUAUUAAGACAUUGAUUGAUUUUAACUGAGACAAGUACAAAAAUGUACUAUGAUUUUGAAAUGUGUGAUUUAAAGACUUAUGAAUGUAAAUUGUCUUGGAAAACAUGAUUUAUCUUUAUGAGGUUUAGAAGGUGGUAAAAAAACUUGUUGUCCAAUCAUUUCUUGGCAGCUGUAUGUUUAUUACAAAUAUAAACAUUUAUAUCUGAAGAAAUAUGUACUGUGGAUUAAUUUAUUAAGACUUAACUAAAAUCUUUAGAUUAGUAUAUCGAUUGUUAGAUGUUAAAAUUUAAUGCAUGACUGUAUAUUUUUGUAAGAAAUAAACUAUUCUCAGAAGACCAAUUUA
This is an RNA transcript of Mytilus californianus (California mussel), 3291 nucleotides long. It is a transcript of the gene named ran guanine nucleotide release factor-like, with no coding region annotated. The transcript has 7 exons. NCBI's taxonomy places the organism in Eukaryota, Metazoa, Mollusca, Bivalvia, Mytilida, Mytilidae. The record is from RefSeq and is a predicted model, not a curated record.